GACUUGAUAGCUCAGCUGGUAGAGCAUCUCCCUUUUAAGGAGAGGGUCCUGGGUUCGAACCCCAGUCAAGUCA
This is a non-coding RNA of Flavobacteriaceae bacterium TMED116, 73 nucleotides long. The record is from Rfam. NCBI's taxonomy places the organism in Bacteria, Pseudomonadati, Bacteroidota, Flavobacteriia, Flavobacteriales, Flavobacteriaceae.